UCCUGAAGACCUGAAAGAUC
RNAcentral lists this unclassified non-coding RNA (20 nucleotides) under Mus musculus (house mouse). RNAcentral's name for it is "oocyte_clustered_small_RNA9334". Lineage: Eukaryota; Metazoa; Chordata; Mammalia; Rodentia; Muridae. The record is from RNAcentral.